This 465-nucleotide ribosomal RNA is filed under the name uncultured bacterium. RNAcentral describes it as "bacterial SSU rRNA". It matches the Rfam family "Bacterial small subunit ribosomal RNA", at positions 329 to 792 of the family's 1533-position model. The record is from RNAcentral.
CGCCAGACUCCUACGGGAGGCAGCAGUGAGGAAUAUUGGUCAAUGGUCGGGAGACUGAACCAGCCAAGCCGCGUGAGGGAUGAAGGUACAGAGUAUCGUAAACCUCUUUUGUCAGGGAACAAAGGCGGGGACGUGUCCCCGGAUGAGUGUACCUGAAGAAAAAGCAUCGGCUAACUCCGUGCCAGCAGCCGCGGUAAUACGGAGGAUGCGAGCGUUAUCCGGAUUUAUUGGGUUUAAAGGGUGCGCAGGCGUUCUGUUAAGACGGCGGAAACAGCGGGGGCCCCACCCCCGGCCCGCCGUUGAAACUGGCAGUCUCGAGUUGGAGAGAAGUAUGCGGAAUGCGCGGUGUAGCGGUGAAAUGCAUAGAUAUCGCGCAGAACUCCGAUUGCGAAGGCAGCAUGCCGGCUCCACACUGACGCUGAGGCACGAAAGCGUGGGUAUCGAACAGGAUUAGAUACCCUAGUA